This 840-nucleotide long non-coding RNA is filed under the name Drosophila guanche. The record is from RNAcentral. Lineage: Eukaryota; Metazoa; Arthropoda; Insecta; Diptera; Drosophilidae.
GUUUUUUGUUGUUUCCUUUUUCAUUUCAGCAAAUUGAAAAUUGUGUGAGCGUCCACCUCGGAUACGGAUGCAAGAGACUCCGAGUGCGAUCCGACAGCAUUGCGUGGCAAUUACAUGAGCCUGGGCCGGUCAUAAAUUUCAUCCUUUCACGCGGCAGCCGAAAGGAGUAGGGCCCCUGGGCCUGGCGGGGAGUCUGGCCCUGCCACUGCCGCUUCGAGGUGGCCAGAGUGGCGUGUGGCGCGGGGCCCGAGACAUGCGGCAUGUUUCAGGGUAAGUAGAUGGCGAUUGCGAUGGCGAUGGCCACAUUUCAUGUCGUGUUUACACUCACUUUCCGAUCGCUCCUACAGAAAGCAAGGGGCAAAGAUAUUAAAAAACUGCAAUUAACUCGGCCCAUUCUCCGCGCCAUAAUUGACCAGGGCUCGAUGCCUCUUGCGACAGUCUCGGCCUCGACUUAUUUAUAUUAUUAAGUUUCUUUUUUUUAUACUUUAUCAAUUUACUCUUUCCUGCACUCGACCACUCGCAAUUAUUUGGAACGCUCAGAGAAACCCGUGGACCUGCAUAAUGCCAGUCAAGCGCAUGAAAAUAUUUUAAAGCAUUCAUUUUUGAUAUCUGAGCACUCAGAUGGGCGUAUCUCUCUAUGUGCUUGUGUCUUAGUCUUAGAUAUUCCAAUGCCUUAGGUCGUGUGUUUCCCAAACAUUUCAUACAGCUAAUUUACAAAUCCAAUUGAAGUGUUUCCUCACCGGAGAAGGGCCACCCAAGAAGCAAAUGGAACAGAACGCACCCGUAUUUCAGUUCUCUGACCCAAUUAUAGUCAAUAUGCGAGUUGAUAGGGGAGUGGGG